Molecule: transfer RNA, 85 nt
Filed under: Candidatus Kaiserbacteria bacterium RIFCSPHIGHO2_01_FULL_56_24
Lineage: Bacteria; Candidatus Kaiseribacteriota
Description: tRNA-Leu
Rfam family: tRNA
About the family: Transfer RNA (tRNA) molecules are approximately 80 nucleotides in length. Their secondary structure includes four short double-helical elements and three loops (D, anti-codon, and T loops). Further hydrogen bonds mediate the characteristic L-shaped molecular structure. tRNAs have two regions of fundamental functional importance: the anti-codon, which is responsible for specific mRNA codon recognition, and the 3' end, to which the tRNAs corresponding amino acid is attached (by aminoacyl-tRNA synthetases). tRNAs cope with the degeneracy of the genetic code in two manners: having more than one tRNA (with a specific anti-codon) for a particular amino acid; and 'wobble' base-pairing, i.e. permitting non-standard base-pairing at the 3rd anti-codon position.
Source: RNAcentral
GGGCAUGUGGCGGAACUGGUAUACGCGCACGGUUCAGAACCGUGUUCCGAAAGGAUUGGGAGUUCGAGUCUCCCCAUGCCCACAA